This 339-nucleotide ribosomal RNA is filed under the name Dentimargo sp. MNHN-IM-2013-68687. Its description in RNAcentral is "partial 12S ribosomal RNA". Lineage: Eukaryota; Metazoa; Mollusca; Gastropoda; Neogastropoda; Marginellidae. The record is from RNAcentral.
AAUUGACUCCGCUAGGAUUAAAGUAGAAACUAGGAUUAGAUACCCUAUUAUUUUUAAUUUUAAAUUAAUACCUGAGUAGUAUUAGAAUUAUGCUUAAAACUCAAAAGACUUGGCGGUGUUUUAGACCUUUUAGGGGAGCUUGUCUCGUAAUCGAUAAUCCUCGUUAGACCUAAUUUUCUUUAUUAGUUUGUAUACCGUCGUCCUCAGACAGCUUUUUAAAAUUUAAUAGUUUGCAUUAUAUGUCAGAUAAAGGUGCAGCUUAUAAUAAAAUGAGGAUGAGCUACUAUUAUAAUAUUUAUAUUUCGAAUAGCUAUAUUAAGAAGAUGGACUUAAAAGUAA